This 1478-nucleotide long non-coding RNA is filed under the name Felis catus (domestic cat). RNAcentral's name for it is "lncRNA (ENSFCAG00000047151.1)". The record is from RNAcentral. Lineage: Eukaryota; Metazoa; Chordata; Mammalia; Carnivora; Felidae.
ACGGGCGCCGAGAGGGCCACGCCGGAGCCCCAGUGUCAGCCCCAGUCCGGCCCCUGCUCCAGGAGUGACCCAGGAAGAGGCCCUCGGCAACAAGGGCACAGAGCAGCUACUGCGGCCCUCCCAAUGGCGCAUGGACUUCCGCGAGAGCCCGCCCGGCACCCGUACUCUGUCCGUCAGGAAAAUAAGCACCACCCCCGCCACGCUUCCUAGGAGGGCAGCACAAACGGUCCGUGGAGGAUUAGUGCCUGCGCUCAGAGCCCCCAGAGGAGACAGCCGCAUUACGCCUCCCACCACCCCUUCCCUCCUUCUUUGUUUCCGGGUUGGAGUUACGAAAUUGAGUUUCCCAGGUCAAAGAUUUGGAGAGGAAAAAAAAACUGCACCAAGGACUACUAAAAUACCUUAUUGGCUAAGAAAGUAUGGCUCCAUUGUAGAUACUCAAACUGAAGACAUGCCUCAGCCCUACACACUCCUGAGGUGAGGUAAAGUUUUAAAUUGAAUUUAUGUUGUUUUUCCAGACUUCUCUUUUCCUUCCACCAUUGAAAGAGUAGACAGCUUUUGUAAUUUCUUUACAUCAGGGAGGUUAGCAGGAAGGUAGUGUGGGGGAAUUCAAAGGCUGUUUUGCUGAAAGCUUUCUAUGAAAGCUUAAGCCUGUGUUGGAAUUUUGCUAGGAGCCUAGGAGUAGAGAGAGGGCCUUGGAGAAGCAAAAGUUGGGAGGGUAGAGAUUCCUAGAGGCCAGAAAGAGGAGAAUGUUCUCCCCUAACUACCCUCCCUGUACAUGGAAGAGAUUAAGACCUCUGAGUGUUCACAGCCCCCCAGAAGAUCUCACCUAAGCAUGAUCAGAAACCGCAGAUCCAUCAGAUUCAAAAGGAUCAUGAAGACUAGGAAUCUGGGGGGACUCCAGAGGUUACCUAUGACCACUAAUUAGAAAAAGAACUAUUUUCUGUGCACAUGGUUAUCUAUGACCAGUAUAUCCAUGUGGUGGAAAUAUCGUAUGAUAGUGUGCUGCAUAUCUCUUUCCAACCCUGCAUUCAUUAGUUAUUGUGGCAGUAUUUACACCAUAGAAUUCAGCAAACACUACCAAUCAGGGCUUGAUUUAUUAUUUUGCUGAUUGUUUAAGCUUAAGAAAGUUAUGAAAAAACAGUAAUACUAUGGGUUAAAUUUAAAUUUUUUACCGUUUAUUCAUUUUUGAGAGACAGAGACAGAGCAUGAGCGGACAAGGGGCAGAGAGAGGGAGACACAGAAUCUGAAGCAGGCUCCAGGCUCUGCGCUGUCAGCACAGAGCCCACGCAGGGCUCAAACUCACGAACUGCAAGGUCAUGACCUGAGCUGAAGUCAGACACUCAACCGACUGAGCCACCCAGGCACCCCUACUAUGGGUUACAUUUAGAAGUGUGUUGUAUCUGUGGCUAUCUCAUUGUGAAGAGCACAGAAAACUGAGGAAAUAUCCUUCCAGUUUUUAAAACAUUUUAACUGAUUCA